UCUGCGAUAAGCGCCGGUAAGGUGAUAUGAACCGUUAUAACCGGCGAUACCCGAAUGGGGAAACCCAGUGUGAUUCGUCACACUAUCAUUAACUGAAUCCAUAGGUUAAUGAGGCGAACCGGGGGAACUGAAACAUCUAAGUACCCCGAGGAAAAGAAAUCAACCGAGAUUCCCCCAGUAGCGGCGAGCGAACGGGGAGGAGCCCAGAGCCUGAAUCAGCAUGUGUGUUAGUGGAAGCGUCUGGAAAGGCGCGCGAUACAGGGUGACAGCCCCGUACACAAAAGCGCUUGUGCUGUGAGCUCGAUGAGUAGGGCGGGACACGUGGUAUCCUGUCUGAAUAUGGGGGGACCAUCCUCCAAGGCUAAAUACUCCUGACUGACCGAUAGUGAACCAGUACCGAGAGGGAUAGGCG
RNAcentral lists this ribosomal RNA (412 nucleotides) under Salmonella enterica subsp. enterica serovar Blockley. RNAcentral's name for it is "bacterial LSU rRNA". It matches the Rfam family "Bacterial large subunit ribosomal RNA", at positions 65 to 516 of the family's 2925-position model. Lineage: Bacteria; Pseudomonadati; Pseudomonadota; Gammaproteobacteria; Enterobacterales; Enterobacteriaceae. The record is from RNAcentral.